CAGUGUGAUCACAGGAAAGAAGGUAACGGUGUAAUCAUAAGUGAGGAAGUAACGGUGUGAUCACAGGAGAGGAGGUAACAGUGUGAUCACAGGAAAGAAGGUAACGGUGUAAUCAUAAGUGAGGAAGUAACGGUGUGAUCACAGGAGAGGAGGUAACAGUGUGAUCACAGGAAAGAAGGUAACGGUGUAAUCAUAAGUGAGGAAGUAACGGUGUGAUCACAGGAGAGGAGGUAACGGUGUGAUCACAGGAAAGAAG
Molecule: long non-coding RNA, 256 nt
Organism: Brienomyrus brachyistius
Lineage: Eukaryota; Metazoa; Chordata; Actinopteri; Osteoglossiformes; Mormyridae
Exons: 3
Source: RefSeq, a predicted model, not a curated record